Molecule: long non-coding RNA, 1335 nt
Organism: Lathyrus oleraceus (garden pea)
Lineage: Eukaryota; Viridiplantae; Streptophyta; Magnoliopsida; Fabales; Fabaceae
Exons: 2
Source: RefSeq, a predicted model, not a curated record
AGAAAUUGAGAGAGAGAGCCUCAUUUGCUCCUCUCAUUCUCUCUCUUCACUUCUGAAAUAAAGUUGCUCUGCAACUUCUUCUUCUUCUCCGUUACUCUCCUCACGGCCAAACCUGCCGGAGAAGACGGUGGCGGCCGGCCAACCGCGGCGGCGCCGCCCUCUUCUCCGGCGACUCUUCACCCUAAACCCAAACUUUAAAACACGAAUCCCACUUGUUUUUGGCCGGAGAUUUCAAAUCCGGCCUCAGUUUUUUCAAAAUCCGCUUCAAUCAACCGGAUCGGCGUAACGAACAAGAAGCGUAUGGAUUUAAAGCAAGGAAAGGAAAGAAGAAUGACUACUUGCCCUGAGUUGCGUCCGGCGACGUGAGCUUUCCGUCGCUUGUAGAGAUAAGUUUUUCUCCUCUUUUUAAAUCUUUUUCGCCUUCUUCUAUUCUUCCUUCUUCUUUUGGGUUUUGAAUCCUGUUGUUGUUGCCUGGCUGUCUUGGUCUCUUUGAAUGAUUAUGAGUUAAAAUGUUUAAAAUUAUUUUUUGAUCUCUUCCUGGAUUCUCGAAAACAUCUCUGUUUUGUUGUUUAGGGUUUGAGGUUAAUUCUAAAAAACGUGUGUUGUGUUGUUUUGGAUUUUUCCAGACUGUUCUUUGUUUUGGUUUGAGGUUAACAGAGAAAAAUAAUUUGAUUGUUUUCUCUUGGAUUUUUCAAAACGUUUCUUCUGUUUCUUUGGAGUUACUUUGGAGUUAACAGAAAAAAAAUUACUUUGACAAUUUCUUCUGAUUUCAUCCAAAAACCGUGUCAUUGUUAAUUAAUUUUAUGGUUUAUAUACAUGAAUGUUGUGGUUCUGAGAUAACUUGUUAAGUUAUCCUUUUUCCAGAUUUUGUGGGAUAAUUACCUUAUGGACUUAAGGUUGUUGAUGUGGAUAUUGCAAAGUAUUUUUUUUGUGUUUCCUUUGAUUCACUGUGUAACCAAUUAAUCUGCUUACUUUAUCAUUUAUUUUUCAGUUUUUUAAGUGCUUAUUUGAUAAGCUGUUUUUAAAUUAUGAAUUGGUUUUGCAGGUUUGCAUAAAGUGAAUGGACAUUGAUUGAAAAUUGGUUUGCUUUUGGAUUUGGGGCCCCUGUAAUUAGGGACUGAAAUUGGGCGCUUGGGAAUUUCAAGAAGCUUUUGGAAGAGUCUUUUGAAGAGUUGCUUCAAACUGCUGUAUUUUACAGCUUAUCUCCAACUUUUCAACCUAGCUGUAACAGAACUUUUGGGCAUAUUAUACAUUUUAAUUUUAAAAAAAAAAAUUAUUGUGAUAAUUAUGUAAAUACUUUGGAUUAUUAUAUAAACUUGGAGUUAAUUGGAACUU